Physeter macrocephalus (sperm whale) is the source of this 1530-nucleotide long non-coding RNA. RefSeq lists it as uncharacterized. Lineage: Eukaryota; Metazoa; Chordata; Mammalia; Artiodactyla; Physeteridae. The record is from RefSeq and is a predicted model, not a curated record. The transcript has 3 exons.
GCGUGGGUGUGUAGGAGAGCAGCAGUGAAUCUGCCCCUCCUUCUGUGAUUUCCGGCCUCCACGUGAGUGUGAUUAUAUUGUAUUAUUUUUAAACAACACACCCCAGAUAACGCAAAUCAGCUACUUCAGCUGGUCCUCAGCCUGAGAAACAGUCAUUUGUUUUAGCCCUGGAAGAAAAACUGAUUAUAUUGGACUUAUUGAGAAGUCCUUUGGUCUCCAGAAUGGCCAUCCCCUCGUAAGGAAACUUUAAGGGUUACAUCAGUGACUCGGUCCCCUUUGCCGUAUUCUCUGGACUGGAGAUUGAACCAGGUGUAAGCAGUGAUGCCUCGGUCGCUCCCCUAUUUCCAGUUGGACAAUGUCACCUUCUAAGGGCCCCUUAGAAGGGGCCCUGCCAGCUUCUUGCUGGACAAACGCACUUUCGCCCCAUCCCCCUUCUGACUUGGGCAUCUCUGACCUUUCCUUUUGACUUCUUCCCCCUCUGGAAUCCAUGAAAGGAGAAAUAUCCUUUACAUGCACUACAUUUUGUAUCGUCUCUAAUGUAUCAACUUGUUCAAUAGCUAACCAUGUGGGUAAAAUUCUCUCCACCCACCCUCCUCCUCUUAUACACCAUCUCUCUGUUCCCUUCUCACUUUUCCUUCUUCUUUAUUUCCUUAAUUCAGCUUUGCUUCAAACCACUGUCUACCUGGCACUUUUCAGGAGCCUCGGAUGCAAAGGAGAGCACUUUGCAGCCCGGAGCUCAGGAACACAAGCCCAGGGGUAGCAGACAAAGAUGCACAAAUCCACAGAAGGCCAAGGUCAAAGCCCUCUGAACCAGUUGACUUCAUCUGACCCAGGAAGAAAGAGACCCUUGAAGAGACUGAUUUGCUCAAGGUCGCCCAGCUAGGAAGUGGCCUCACCCGCCUCCUUGGAGGCUGAGCUCAGGGCUCUGGACCCCCUCACUGAACAGCCCUUCCUUCAGGGACAGGGAUGCAAAGAUUUGUUUCACCUGCAUCCUUAACCUCAAAACGAGUGCAUCAUUCCAGGUUUGCCAAGUUCCGGAUGAUUCCUCUAAGCACCAGUAACUUAAAUAUCACCCAGCUGAGGACAAAAAGCCACAGUUGCAAAAUACAUAUCCUGUUGGGUGUAGGGUUUCUGCCAAGAUCAAUGAGAAGAGCUUGAAGGUCGUGUGAUUCCCACACGGAGUUCAUGAACUGUGCUCAGUCUCGCACCUUUUGAAGUCUGAAGACACAUCGAAAGAACUUUUCAUUCUUUCACCCAUCUCUUCAUUCAUUCAGCUAAUGUUUAUUUAGGGACUUCUGUGUGUGUCAUGUUGCGCUAGGUCCUGAGUUGAGUUGGUUAAGCAGGAAGAGGUAAAAGUGUAUUCAGGGGGAAAAUUACAUAAUCUCUGAAAAAAAGAUCUACAAAAACAUUGUAUUAGAUGAUAACAUUGAAGCAAUGUUAAAUUCCUGAAUAUUGUCAUUAUAUUGCAAUUAUGUAGCAGAAUGCCAUUGUUCAUAAGAGGUGUAUAUUCAGGGCUAAGGUGUCAUGAUG